This 382-nucleotide ribosomal RNA is filed under the name uncultured bacterium. RNAcentral's name for it is "partial 16S ribosomal RNA". It matches the Rfam family "Bacterial small subunit ribosomal RNA", at positions 356 to 730 of the family's 1533-position model. The record is from RNAcentral.
UGGGAAUUUUGGACGAAUGGGCGAAGCCUGAUCCAGCAAUGCCGCGUGUGUGAAGAAGGCCUUCGGGUUGUAAAGCACUUUUGUCCGGAAAGAAAUCCUUGGCUCUAAUACAGUCGGGGGAUGACGGUACCGGAAGAAUAAGCACCGGCUAACUACGUGCCAGCAGCCGCGGUAAUACGUAGGGUGCAAGCGUUAAUCGGAAUUACUGGGCGUAAAGCGUGCGCAGGCGGUUUGCUAAGACCGAUGUGAAAUCCCCGGGCUCAACCUGGGAACUGCAUUGGUGACUGGCAGGCUAGAGUAUGGCAGAGGGGGGUAGAAUUCCACGUGUAGCAGUGAAAUGCGUAGAGAUGUGGAGGAAUACCGAUGGCGAAGGCAGCCCCCU